AGUUGGUGAGGUAAAGNNNCACCAAGGCAACGAUCCGUAGCUGGUCUGAGAGGAUGAUCAGCCACAUCGGGACUGAGACACGGCCCGAACUCCUACGGGAGGCAGCAGUGGGGAAUAUUGGACAAUGGGGGCAACCCUGAUCCAGCCAUGCCGCGUGUGUGAAGAAGGCCCUCGGGUUGUAAAGCACUUUCAGCGAGGAAGAACGCCUAGCGGUUAAUACCCGCUAGGAAAGACAUCACUCGCAGAAGAAGCACCGGCUAACUCCGUGCCAGCAGCCGCGGUAAUACGGAGGGUGCAAGCGUUAAUCGGAAUUACUGGGCGUAAAGCGCGCGUAGGUGGCUUGAUAAGCCGGUUGUGAAAGCCCCGGGCUCAACCUGGGAACGGCAUCCGGAACUGUCAAGCUAGAGUGCAGGAGAGGAAGGUAGAAUUCCCGGUGUAGCGGUGAAAUGCGUAGAGAUCGGGAGGAAUACCAGUGGCGAAGGCGGCCUUCUGGACUGACACUNNNNNNGAGGUGCGAAAGCGUGGGUAGAAGACAGGAUUAGNNNNNNNNNNAGUCCACGCCGUAAACGAUAUGGACCAGCCGUUGGGUGCCUAGCGCACUUUGUGGCGAAGUUAACGCGAUA
RNAcentral lists this ribosomal RNA (623 nucleotides) under Halomonas sp. 47Mb. RNAcentral's name for it is "partial 16S ribosomal RNA". It matches the Rfam family "Bacterial small subunit ribosomal RNA", at positions 247 to 862 of the family's 1533-position model. Lineage: Bacteria; Pseudomonadati; Pseudomonadota; Gammaproteobacteria; Oceanospirillales; Halomonadaceae. The record is from RNAcentral.